UUGUAAAUGGUAUUUGAGAGUGGAU
RNAcentral lists this non-coding RNA (25 nucleotides) under Mus musculus (house mouse). The record is from RNAcentral. Lineage: Eukaryota; Metazoa; Chordata; Mammalia; Rodentia; Muridae.